This is a long non-coding RNA of Neomonachus schauinslandi (Hawaiian monk seal), 1313 nucleotides long. RefSeq lists it as uncharacterized. The transcript is spliced from 2 exons. NCBI's taxonomy places the organism in Eukaryota, Metazoa, Chordata, Mammalia, Carnivora, Phocidae. The record is from RefSeq and is a predicted model, not a curated record.
GUCACCGACGUGUGGCCCCAGAAGUCCGGCGGUCUGUAGACCACCCUGGCUCCCGAACUCCCGGCUCUCUCUCGCGGUCACCUCUCACCAAUGCAUAGUUUCAGCCAUAUUCCUGCCCCUCCUUCCAGCCGCACAGUCCUGGAGCGCCAGCCAAGUAGGACUGCUGGCCAGCCCCCAAAUGCUUCCCAUGUUUGACUCGCGCCACAGUCGUGCCAUUCCCUCUGCCUGACUGCCCUUUCGUCCCCUUCCCACCUGCUGAAAUUCCAGCCACCUGUUAAGACAGCUGGGGUGUUGGUUCCUUCAGGGAAACCCCCAAGACCUGCCCACCUAUCCCCGCUCCCUACUCAGAGCUCCCCAGCACUUGAUUUCCACCUCCCCUGGGGAACCUCACGUUCUUUCCUGCUGUGUACCUUUGAGAUCUUCCUCCAGCUGUCUUUGCUUCUGGAACAGAAACCAGCAUGUUUUCUGCUCAGUGACUAUAAAACGAAGACCGAGUGACUUUCUCCAAUCUCUGUUGAAUCUCCACAAUAACCCCAUGAGGAAACUGAGGUACAGCGGGAUGCAGUGGUGCUGCAUUAUACUGGGAAACAUAAUUACUGAGAGGUCAUUGGUUCAACAAGGCCUCCCAAGAGGAGGAGUCCUAUCAGGUGCACUGUGAGGAGAAGAAACGAGUAAGCCCCAGCCCUACCAUCCAGGUCUACUGAGGGAGAAACCCAGACACUGAGACAGUGAUGGGUGUUUGAAGGGUUGUGAACAGAGUGGGGUUGGUUGGGGAAGAUUCCACUGUGAAGAUGGAAUUUAAAGCAGUCCUUGGAGAGCUAAGAAGUCAGCAGCCUGAGAUGGGGUCAGGAGAAGGGACCAGUGCCAGCAAAGACUUGGAGGCAAGAAAGCGUCAAAUUUUCAGAAGCCCAGGUGCUGAGGACUGAAACAGACCUCGGAGGUUUCCCAGUCCAACUCCCACAGCAAGGUGCUCCGUGCCUCCUGAGCAUCUGCAAGGACAUCGGGGAGACAAAAAGCUGCCUCAGCCCCAGCUGGGACCUGUUCCCUGGACCAGGCCACAGGCUCCAGAACCCCUCAGACAUUCUUGAGCUCCUCCAACAUGCAGGUCACUCCCCUCUGGACACGCCCCUGUGUCCUGUCCUUGCACUUUGUAGCAUCCAGAGAUGCCAUUAACAGUGUUUGCCACUCAGGAGAAGGAUCUAGAAGGUGUGCCCUUGUUUAGGACUACAGCACUACCCAAUCCAAGUGUGUUUUAUUCUAGACAAUGUUUUUAAUUGAGACAGCAUUCUUAAUAAAUCAGCAAAAUAUACAUA